CCUGUAGCUCAAUGGUUGAGCGCUGGGUUCCCAAUCCGGAGGCUACGGGUUCGACCCCCGUCG
This 63-nucleotide transfer RNA is filed under the name marine eukaryotic metagenome. It matches the Rfam family "tRNA", at positions 6 to 65 of the family's 71-position model. From Rfam's summary of the family: Transfer RNA (tRNA) molecules are approximately 80 nucleotides in length. The record is from RNAcentral.